RNAcentral lists this ribosomal RNA (723 nucleotides) under Pseudomonas sp. 120516_NH_C1_D9. Its description in RNAcentral is "bacterial SSU rRNA". It matches the Rfam family "Bacterial small subunit ribosomal RNA", at positions 23 to 741 of the family's 1533-position model. Lineage: Bacteria; Pseudomonadati; Pseudomonadota; Gammaproteobacteria; Pseudomonadales; Pseudomonadaceae. The record is from RNAcentral.
CUCAGAUUGAACGCUGGCGGCAGGCCUAACACAUGCAAGUCGAGCGGAUGACGGGAGCUUGCUCCUUGAUUCAGCGGCGGACGGGUGAGUAAUGCCUAGGAAUCUGCCUGGUAGUGGGGGACAACGUUUCGAAAGGAACGCUAAUACCGCAUACGUCCUACGGGAGAAAGCAGGGGACCUUCGGGCCUUGCGCUAUCAGAUGAGCCUAGGUCGGAUUAGCUAGUUGGUGGGGUAAUGGCUCACCAAGGCGACGAUCCGUAACUGGUCUGAGAGGAUGAUCAGUCACACUGGAACUGAGACACGGUCCAGACUCCUACGGGAGGCAGCAGUGGGGAAUAUUGGACAAUGGGCGAAAGCCUGAUCCAGCCAUGCCGCGUGUGUGAAGAAGGUCUUCGGAUUGUAAAGCACUUUAAGUUGGGAGGAAGGGCAGUAAGYUAAUACCUUGCUGUUUUGACGUUACCGACAGAAUAAGCACCGGCUAACUCUGUGCCAGCAGCCGCGGUAAUACAGAGGGUGCAAGCGUUAAUCGGAAUUACUGGGCGUAAAGCGCGCGUAGGUGGUUUGUUAAGUUGGAUGUGAAAGCCCCGGGCUCAACCUGGGAACUGCAUCCAAAACUGGCAAGCUAGAGUACGGUAGAGGGUGGUGGAAUUUCCUGUGUAGCGGUGAAAUGCGUAGAUAUAGGAAGGAACACCAGUGGCGAAGGCGACCACCUGGACUGAUACU